GACAUAUGAUGCAUCAAGUGUUGGUUCGUACUAACUAGUUACAAGUUAGGGCGCCACGAUAUCUUUAAUGGUGACGGUGUUAUUGUAUGAAUACAAGUGUAUUCAUCGCCGUUGAAUUGCGUAUUAACAGAAGGAAGGAUACUUUUAAAAAAUUGUUCUUUUUUUCUUAUUAAGCAAACAGCGUAAAAAUGGUACAAUGUAUAGUAAAAUGUAAAGUAAAUGUAUAAAUGUUCUUAUUGAGUCAGUCAAAAAUUUACGUUCGAUAUUCAAGUUUUUUAAUCAAUUUACAUGUAAGACAGACAACAAUAUUGGGGAGCUGAGUUCGGUCGAUACAAACUGAAUCCUGAAGAGUGGCCGCGACGAAAAAAAAGAAGGUUAGACGGAGAGUGAAAUCAAUAUGACUUGAUUUUUACCGAGACUUGUGUGUUUCUCAAUUGUAAUUUGUAUUCCUAUUGUAUCAAAUAAAUUAUUUUAUUUUCUACAAUAAUAAUAAUGUCUGUAUUAUAAAACUGAUAUCUAUUCAUUUUUUUGAUUGAUUACUUGGUUGAUGAAUAAGUUUUUCCUUCUGAAUAAAAUAAAAUAAAACUUGAUGCAAAAAUUGAACCGAACUUUUUGACUGACCCAAUAUAGAUAUGAUUGAUACUUCAUAAAAAUAAUAUGCAUGCUUACUUCAAUAAUCAGAAUUUCACUUAUCAGGAAUUAAUGGCAUGUGUGUACAUAUGUACAGAGAGAAGCAAAGACGCAGAAUGCAAGUGCAGAAAAGGGAAUAUUAUAUCGCUGUAUUAUUACUAUGCGAAUAAGCAUAUAAGCUAAUAUAUGCACUUGCUAGAAUUAAAUAAUACUAAUAAUAUUAUUUUGUUAAGGGUUAUAUGUUUCAUAAGAAAAUUUUCGAAGUUUUAAAAUCUGGUUUAAACUUAUAGUUUUUAUAUAUUUUGCAAUAAUUUCAGAUAUAUCUGAUAUAAAAAAAA
Molecule: long non-coding RNA, 968 nt
Organism: Ooceraea biroi (clonal raider ant)
Lineage: Eukaryota; Metazoa; Arthropoda; Insecta; Hymenoptera; Formicidae
Source: RefSeq, a predicted model, not a curated record